AAGGCCCUGCUUGCAGGGUACUCGAGUGGCGAACGGGUGAGUAACACGUGGGUGAUCUGCCCUGCACUUCGGGAUAAGCUUGGGAAACUGGGUCUAAUACCGGAUAGGAACCAUCUUUAGNUGUGGUGGUUGGAAAGUUUUUUCGGUGUAGGAUGAGCUCGCGGCCUAUCAGCUUGUUGGUGGGGUAAUGGCCUACCAAGGCGGCGACGGGUAGCCGGCCUGAGAGGGUGUACGGCCACAUUGGGACUGAGAUACGGCCCAGACUCCUACGGGAGGCAGCAGUGGGGAAUAUUGCACAAUGGGCGCAAGCCUGAUGCAGCGACGCCGCGUGGGGGAUGAAGGCCUUCGGGUUGUAAACUCCUUUCGCUAGGGACGAAGCUUUUUUGUGACGGUACCUAGAUAAGAAGCACCGGCUAACUACGUGCCAGCAGCCGCGGUAAUACGUAGGGUGCGAGCGUUGUCCGGAAUUACUGGGCGUAAAGGGCUCGUAGGUGGUUUGUCGCGUCGUCUGUGAAAUUCUGGGGCUUAACUCCGGGCGUGCAGGCGAUACGGGCAUAACUUGAGUGCUGUAGGGGUAACUGGAAUUCCUGGUGUAGCGGUGAAAUGCGCAGAUAUCAGGAGGAACACCGAUGGCGAAGGCAGGUUACUGGGCAGUUACUGACGCUGAGGAGCGAAAGCAUGGGUAGCGAACAGGAUUAGAUACCCUGGUAGUCCAUGCCGUAAACGGUGGGCGCUAGGUGUGAGGGUCUUUCUACGACUUUCGUGCCGUAGCUAACGCAUUAAGCGCCCCGCCUGGGGAGUACGCCGCAAGGCUA
RNAcentral lists this ribosomal RNA (815 nucleotides) under uncultured Actinomycetes bacterium. RNAcentral describes it as "bacterial SSU rRNA". It matches the Rfam family "Bacterial small subunit ribosomal RNA", at positions 70 to 896 of the family's 1533-position model. The record is from RNAcentral. Lineage: Bacteria; Bacillati; Actinomycetota; Actinomycetes.